GUGGGGAAUAUUGGACAAUGGGCGAAAGCCUGAUCCAGCCAUGCCGCGUGUGUGAAGAAGGUCUUCGGAUUGUAAAGCACUUUAAGUUGGGAGGAAGGGCAGUAAGUUAAUACCUUGCUGUUUUGACGUUACCGACAGAAUAAGCACCGGCUAACUUCGUGCCAGCAGCCGCGGUAAUACGAAGGGUGCAAGCGUUAAUCGGAAUUACUGGGCGUAAAGCGCGCGUAGGUGGUUUUGUAAGUUGGAGGUGAAAUCCCCGGGCUCAACCUGGGAACUGCCUCCAAAACUGCAUGACUAGAGUACGGUAGAGGGUAGUGGAAUUUCCUGUAUAGCGGUGAAAUGCGUAGAUAUAGGAAGGAACACCAGUGGCGAAGGCGACUACCUGGACUGAUACUGACACUGAGGUGCGAAAGCGUGGGGAGCAAACAGGAUUAGAUACCCCUGUAGUCC
RNAcentral lists this ribosomal RNA (450 nucleotides) under uncultured bacterium. RNAcentral's name for it is "partial 16S ribosomal RNA". It matches the Rfam family "Bacterial small subunit ribosomal RNA", at positions 354 to 796 of the family's 1533-position model. The record is from RNAcentral.